Molecule: ribosomal RNA, 253 nt
Filed under: uncultured bacterium
Lineage: Bacteria
Description: partial 16S ribosomal RNA
Rfam family: Bacterial small subunit ribosomal RNA
Source: RNAcentral
UACAGAGGGGGCAAGCGUUGUUCGGAAUUACUGGGCGUAAAGGGCGCGUAGGCGGCCUUCUAAGUCGAACGUGAAAUCCCCGGGCUCAACCCGGGAACUGCGUCCGAUACUGGAAGGCUUGAAUCCGGGAGAGGGAUGUGGAAUUCCAGGUGUAGCGGUGAAAUGCGCAGAUAUCAGGAGGAACACCUAUUGCGAAGGCAGCUCGCUGGGACGUAACUGACGCUGAGACGCGAAAGCGUGGGGAGCAAACAGG